CCGUGGAAAGUCUGGUGAACCUUAUCAGCUUAGAGGAAGGAGCAGUCGUAACAAGGUUUCCGUAGGUGAACCUGCGGAAGGAUCAU
This 86-nucleotide ribosomal RNA is filed under the name Dinophysis sp. RNAcentral's name for it is "partial 18S small subunit ribosomal RNA". It matches the Rfam family "Eukaryotic small subunit ribosomal RNA", at positions 1745 to 1829 of the family's 1831-position model. Lineage: Eukaryota; Dinophyceae; Dinophysales; Dinophysaceae. The record is from RNAcentral.